CAAACUGUGUUUCGAGCUCCAUUCAUAGAUCAAACACGAGCUUCUUCCUCUCUCCUUGGCACGAGUAACUUUUCUCUCCGUGGCUGCUACUUCUGCUUCUUCCGCCGUGGCCGUUGCCGCUGCCGCCGCUGCUUGCAUCGCACAAUCUCUCUGUCAUCCCUUGCGUCCUACGAGAUCCCCCCGCCGCCGCUCUCAUCGCAGAGCUCUCUCUGCCGACGCUCUCAUCGCAUCUGCUCCCUCUGGCACCUCUUCCAUCUAAUCUCAACUCGCUCUCUCAGUUCUUCUUGUAACCAUCUCAAAUUUCAGUGUUACAGCUCAAGAUCUUGUUGACACUAUGCUUCUAAAUUUGCUUCUAAAUUUCUGAUAUCUUCACUUUUAACGAUGGAUCUGUAACGCCUCUACUCAAGAGCAUGACAGUGCAUAAUAUGUAUGUUGGAGAGGGUUCAGACUUCCAAUAUAAUAUAUAAAAGGGUGGCUGAGCAGUGGGGUUCUCUUGGUGACUUGACUACGUCUGUUACAUCGAUUCGAUUCGAUUGAUACAGAAGGAAUACUCAGGAUCUGCUAGAACUGGCGAUGGAUCUGUUAGACGAGAUCAAGUUGGUGGGGUCAAAAUACUCAGCUUGUUCAUCAGGGUUCACUGAAUUAUAUUAGUUCCCAG
Arachis duranensis is the source of this 658-nucleotide long non-coding RNA. RefSeq lists it as uncharacterized. NCBI's taxonomy places the organism in Eukaryota, Viridiplantae, Streptophyta, Magnoliopsida, Fabales, Fabaceae. The transcript has 4 exons. The record is from RefSeq and is a predicted model, not a curated record.